Molecule: ribosomal RNA, 235 nt
Filed under: uncultured bacterium
Lineage: Bacteria
Description: partial 16S ribosomal RNA
Rfam family: Bacterial small subunit ribosomal RNA
Source: RNAcentral
CGCACGGGUGAGUAACACGUAUCCAACCUGCCGUCUACUCUUGGACAGCCUUCUGAAAGGAAGAUUAAUACAAGAUGGCAUCAUGAGUCCGCAUGUUCACAUGAUUAAAGGUAUUCCGGUAGACGAUGGGGAUGCGUUCCAUUAGAUAGUAGGCGGGGUAACGGCCCACCUAGCCUUCGAUGGAUAGGGGUUCUGAGAGGAAGGUCCCCCACAUUGGAACUGAGACACGGUCCAA